ACUCUAGUGGCGGACGGGUGAGUAACACGUGAGCAACCUGCCUUUUGCUGGGGAAUAACUGUGGGAAACCAUGGCUAAUACCGCAUAUUGUACUGGCUGGGCAUCCGGUUGGUAUGAAAGGAGAAAUCCGGCAGAAGAUGGGCUCGCGUCCGAUUAGGUAGUUGGUGGGGUAACGGCUCACCAAGCCGACGAUCGGUAGCCGGACUGAGAGGUCGAACGGCCACAUUGGGACUGAGAUACGGCCCAGACUCCUACGGGAGGCAGCAGUGGGGAAUAUUGGUCAAUGGGCGCAAGCCUGAACCAGCCAUCCCGCGUGAAGGAAGACGGCGCUAUGCGUUGUAAACUUCUUUUCCAGGGAAAUAAAAUCAGGUACGUGUACCGGAUUGAAGGUACCCUGGGAAUAGGCAUCGGCUAACUCCGUGCCAGCAGCCGCGGUAAUACGGAGGAUGCAAGCGUUAUCCGGAUUUAUUGGGUUUAAAGGGUGCGUAGGCGGGAAAAUAAGUCAGUGGUGAAAUCCUACAGCUUAACUGUAGAAUUGCCGUUGAUACUGUUUUUCUUGAGUAUGGUCAAGGAAGGCGGAAUGUGUAAUGUAGCGGUGAAAUGCUUAGAUAUUACACAGAACACCAAUUGCGAAGGCAGCUUUCUGGCCCAUUACUGACGCUGAGGCACGAAAGCGUGGGGAUCGAACAGGAUUAGAUACCCUGGUAGUCCACGCCGUAAACGAUGAUCACUAGCUGUUGGCGAUAUACUGUCAGCGGCAAAGCAAAAGCAUUAAGUGAUCCACCUGGGGAGUACGCCCGCAAGGCUGAAACUCAAAAGAAAUUGACGGGGGCCCGCACAAGCGGAGGAACAUGUGGUUUAAUUCGAUGGUACGCGAGGAACCUUACCUGGGCUUAAAUGUAGAGUGCAUUUCACCGAAAGGUGGAUUUUCUUCGGAACUCUUUACAAGGUGCUGCAUGGUUGUCGUCAGCUCGUGCCGUGAGGUGUCGGGUUAAGUCCCAUAACGAGCGCAACCCUUAUCGUUAGUUGCCAGCGGGUAAUGCCGGGAACUCUAACGAAACUGCCGGUGUAAACCGAGAGGAAGGUGGGGAUGACGUCAAAUCAGCACAGCCCUUAUGUCCAGGGCUACACACGUGUUACAAUGGUCGGUACAGAGGGCAGCUACCUGGAGACAGGAUGCGAAUCUCCAAAACCGGUCUUAGUUCGGAUCGGAGUCUGCAACUCGACUCCGUGAAGCUGGAUUCGCUAGUAAUCGCGCAUCAGCCAUGGCGCGGUGAAUACGUUCCCGGGCCUUGUACUCAGCGCCCGUCAAG
RNAcentral lists this ribosomal RNA (1313 nucleotides) under uncultured bacterium. RNAcentral describes it as "bacterial SSU rRNA". It matches the Rfam family "Bacterial small subunit ribosomal RNA", at positions 89 to 1401 of the family's 1533-position model. The record is from RNAcentral.